Molecule: small nucleolar RNA, 105 nt
Organism: Telopea speciosissima
Lineage: Eukaryota; Viridiplantae; Streptophyta; Magnoliopsida; Proteales; Proteaceae
Product: small nucleolar RNA R64/Z200 family
Exons: 1
Source: RefSeq, a predicted model, not a curated record
CUCUUGCAGUGAUGAAUUAUGAAUUCUUCACACGUCAGACUUCAGAGAUUCUUUUAGUUUUUUCUAAAAAAUCUAUGAGAAGACAAUUCAUUCUUCUGAGCAGAG